GGUUUCUCCUGAUAGAUAUGGCGAUUCACAUACUCACUUCUACACUUAUUGGACAAGAGAUGGAUACGGGAGAAGCGGGUGCCACGAUAUGGAAUGCCCUGGUUUCCAAGUAUUAGGGGGAUCAAAGUUGACUCCUGGUGCUAUUAUAAAAAGUACUUCUACUAAUGGUGGCCCUCGUCACACUAUUACAGUUAAAGUUUUUAAGGACAAGUCUAGUGAAAAAUGGUGGGUUUAUUGCGGCAUAAACGAUGAAACUCCUACAGCGGUGGGGUACUAUCCGACAGACCUAUUUACAACAUUAACCGAAAAAGCAAAUUCCAUUGCUUUUGGUGGAGAAUCAGGUGCCUCAAGAAGUUUUCCAACUCCUCCAAUGGGUAGUGGAUCACUUCCAUCCGAAAAGGCUGCAUUCAUGUCAAACCUCCAGUUUGUUGAUCGGGAUGGCCAAGCCACUCUUAUUCAAUCAGACUUACAAAUUCUUGCAGAUCAUCCAAAAUGUUAUUAUGUGUCACCGAUAAUAGGUUCAAGGUUUUCCUUUGGUGGCCCACAAGGAUGCUUUUAGCUACGUAGCUUAGCUAUAUAAUAAGUUUGUGGUGGAAUUACAAAUGUAAUAAAUCUAU
This is a non-coding RNA of Lolium perenne, 617 nucleotides long. The record is from RefSeq and is a predicted model, not a curated record. Lineage: Eukaryota; Viridiplantae; Streptophyta; Magnoliopsida; Poales; Poaceae.